AACCCUUGUCAUUAGUUGCUACGAAAGGGCACUCUAAUGAGACUGCCGGUGACAAAACCCGGAGGAAGGUGGGGAUGACGUCAAAUCAUCAUGCCCUUUAUGACCUGGGCUACAAACGUACUACAAUGGCCAGAUACAAAGAGAUGCGAAGCCGCGAGGUGGAGCGAACCUCAUAAAAAUGGUCUCAGUUCGGAUUGGAGUCUGCAACUCGACUCCAUGAAGUCGGAAUCGCUAGUAAUCGCGGGUCAGCAGACCGCGGUGAAUACGUUCCCGGGUUUU
This 279-nucleotide ribosomal RNA is filed under the name uncultured Bacillota bacterium. RNAcentral's name for it is "uncultured Firmicutes bacterium partial 16S ribosomal RNA". It matches the Rfam family "Bacterial small subunit ribosomal RNA", at positions 1100 to 1382 of the family's 1533-position model. The record is from RNAcentral. Lineage: Bacteria; Bacillati; Bacillota.